Long non-coding RNA from Parus major (Great Tit), 4035 nucleotides. NCBI's taxonomy places the organism in Eukaryota, Metazoa, Chordata, Aves, Passeriformes, Paridae. The record is from Ensembl.
CUGAAGCUGUAGGCAGGAUAUCUUAUUCAAUAAAAAUGGGAAAAGCUUUAGGUGUGGUUUCCUUACCCUUUUUCUUUUUCUUUUUUUUUUUUUUUUUUUGCAUUUCAUUUUAUAUCUUGCCCCUGAGAACUUGUUAUAUCUCACAAAUCAUGGAUUUGCUCUAAAUACUGUGGUUUACUAGCUUUCCAAAGUUCUGGGCCUUUCUGUCCUAAUGAUGAUACAGUAAUACUGGGUAAAAGUGAUUAAGCAUUUUUAUUUUUAUUUCUACUUCUUUAAUUAAUUUACUGGGGAUUUAGAAGCUUUGGAAAAAUAUUUUUUUUCCUGUGGCCUAUUAGAUAUUAUGGUGAAUUGGGAGCCUUACAGAAAACAUGAGAAAUUACACUCAUCUCUGUUUUCACAAGUUUAUUUGGUUGGCUUCAAGUCCUCUGUACUUUCAAAGAAAAACAGACAUAGAAAUGAAUAAGGCACUUUAAAGUUUGGAAAAAAUAUUUUGCAAAAUAGGGUGCAUGAUAGGUCUGGCACUGUCUGCCAAGUGUAGAUUUGUGCUAUGAGUACCGAAUGAAACAGUGCUGCUAAACUCAGCGCUUGUAUUCCCUUAGGAGGUGACAAAAAAGGAUGAGGGGCUUUGAAGACCUCCAGAAGCAGGUCUUUUCUGGCAAGUUGAGGCAUCUAAAUGACCUCCUCCCUGGGGGCCUGGAGAUGAAUCUGGGGUUUCCUAUUGAUCAUACAUGACACAAGACAGAUUAUGAAGUUUAGGUUCCCCCUUGCCCGAGCACCGCAUCCCUCUCACUUCUUCUGUGAGGAGGGGAGGACAAGGGCAGGGACUUUUGGCUUUCACCAGGCAUUUUCUUGCUCUCUGGUUCUACUUUGAUAUCAACCCCAGCUGGCGAGGGCUUAUGUUGUUGGUAGCUUUGCUACCGUGGGGAUGGAUCGAAGUUUGGGCAUGAAAUGAGGAGCUGGGAUACAGAUGAGAAUAAAAAUUGCCUUCUAUUAUUACACCUGUCUUUGCCGCCUUGCUCAGUAGGAUUGGCCAUGUCGGGGUCUCCGUUCCCCCGGGCGGAACGGCUUGAGCAAACUCUACCACUGCUCUGCGGGCUAUCCCUCAGCAGCGGCUCGGGCAGCUGCCCAGCCCCUGAAAGCCGCGGUCACCAGCCGUAUGCGGCUCCUGCCACACGCAGAGCUGUGAAUGAGGGUGCCGGGACGGCCCCUUCAGCUCCCCGGCUUCCCCCGGGCGGCUCUGGCCCGGCCCCGGCCCCGGCGAGCCCUGUGUGGGGCACGGGCCCUUCCUGGCGCCGCCCGGAGCCGCCCCCGCUCCGUGCCCGGCCCCGCGCUGCGGGCCCUUCGUUUGAAAAUAAAGCCGUCAUCAAAACCAUUCGGACACUGCAUGAAACUCGCCUGUUCACACCCUGCAGUAUCUGAACAAGAACCUGGCCCAGAUCGUAUGUUCUGCAUCUCCAUCUGUGCUGGUGGGUCAAACUGCUCUGUGAAAAGAGCUCUCCAAUAACUCCUGGUUUUCAGCUAAACUAGUGGGAAUCUGAAGUGCCAGGGAUUUGGAUUGAUUUCAGCUUUCCUUUUGAUUCAAAAAAAUCCAGACAAACUCACAACUGAAAACCUUCUUGUCUUUCCUAGGUUAAAAAGGAGGGUGAGCUGCGCUAGUAGGUGGGAAGACCUUUGCUCUCUCUGCUGGAGCAGAGCGGGGCAUGGUGCUAGAGCAGCAAAGAUGCCUCUCACGCCUGCAGUGAAACUUAGCAGACAGAAGUUCCCCCAAAAGAGGGGAUCUAGUCCACAACAGAGGUCCCUGACUGUGCUGCAUCCAGUGUGUGAGCCUUUGUUUUCACCCCAGACAAUUCAUGAUGCUCGCUGUCCAGCAUUAAUGGAGUUGUGUUUCCUUGCAUUUUCCGUAACUGCCUGUUUUUCUACUUGUCUCCCCUUUUCCGUUUCCUGUUGGCACUGCAUCCUAAACUCCUAACCUCUUACACACAUGCACCGGUUUUUUUCGCUUGCUGGGGGAGGUGUUGCACAAUGAGAUCCAUGUAGUGAGAGUUCAAUUGCUGCAUGUCGGAGCACGGCAUAUGCUAGCCAGUUUUCUCACCCACACCCCUCUCUGUGGGAUUUCUCAGCACAUUUGCUUCCCAGCUCCUGCACUCAACAUGUGCUGCAAAGUGUAGUGGAAUAUCCGGGUCUGAGGCCCUGCAGUAUACAGGAGGACUCUUCCUGACUUGUAUUAAUAUUGCUGCCAGUGAAAUCUGUGGCAUUUUGAUUGCUUUGGAGCUCCAGUGCUGAAACGUUUUUCUUUCUGCCUACCCAUAUGACUCUCCUUUCAGUUUUUUGUGUUCACAUGAAAGAGAGGGCAAAAAAAAAAAAAAAUCUUUUGAUGUUUUUUGAGAAUAUUGCAAGAUAUUCUCAUGAAAACACCAUUUCUUUUGCUCAGGCUCUUGUUCAUACAGACUUUCAUGACUUCCAGGAUUGACUAUUUUAAUUUGUUCCUGGUGGUGUUCCAGAUUGUUUGCUAAACUGGCUGCAGAUGGUUUUGAAUGUUGCUGCUGCCAGAAUUGUUACUAGGACUUGAUCUGCAGAUCAUAUUUCUCCAGUCUCACGUUCCCUCUACCCUGGUGCCUGUUAAGCAGCAUAUGGCUUUAAAAUUCUUUGCUGACUUUUAAAGCUUGCACUGGCCCUGAUUCUUUUUACCUUCCUGGUCUUAAAAUGCUUUAGACCUUGGCUUAGGCGCAUGCCUUAUCUGAUGUAAUGGCCACUGACAGUUCAGAGCCAGCAUCCAGCAAACCAGGGUCAAGUAUUGCUUUGGAUUUUGCUCCUUGUCAUACUUUUCUUUCAGUGAAGUGAAGGAAGUGAGUAGAUUUUUUGUUUCUAUUGCCUAAUAUUCUAAUGAUUACUCCAAGCUUUACAUUAAGCUUUUCUACAUAGAUUUACACACAGAUGCACACACAGAUGAAGUCAACAUAUAAACAGUAUGCUCCUCCUUUAAAAUUCAAAAGCGCAAACAAAAGAAGUUUGAUUCCCAGCUGAUGUACAAGAGAACUGGUAUAAAAAUUCUGGAGAGACACUUCCUGAUGACACUAGGUGAAGAGGGAUAGGUCCUUGUAUGUGCAUGGCAUGGAAAAAUUUGGGAACAUCACCUUCUCUUUCAAAUACUUUGAUUACUGAAAGCUACGGAGUGUCACUCUUAGUUAUCUAUCAACUUUGUGUUGUUUCAGCUGAAAAGGAGGUAUGCAAGAACACUGCCUUGCAUGUGUGUAUUUCAUCACACAAUGUUAGGUUCUCCCCCUAACUAGUGAGACCCUGCUGCUGGUUUUGAUCCCUGCCAGAUGCAGAACAAAGGACAAUAGAAGGAGACUGACAGAUUCUUCGUCUGUUACUGAAUGUGCUCACAGAAUUUUUAUUAAUGGUGGUACAGCACAAAUACACAAUGGGUGAAAUUUUGUAUUUACUGAAAUCUAUGGGAAUUUUCUUGGUGGCUUUUUUAGAGCCCAGGCUUUAAGGAACAAAGUUUGGAAGUGGAGUUGUCUUGUAUUUCAAGGUUGGCAAGUGCAUGGAAAGAGUUCUUGCUGUCAGUAACUUAAGAGAGGAUUGCUCUGGGGGUCACUGAGGUGCAGUCAGGGGUUGCCAUAGGUUUAGAGCCCCUUCCAGAAAGCCGCUCUGCAAGCCCAUCUACUGGUAUUUAUUCUUCAAGGGUUAGUUCAGGGAGAGUUCCUGUCCUCUUGCUAUCUUUGAGCUCCUCUGGACACUGAGAUGUUUGUCUCCAUCUGGAAAUAAUUCACAGUGUUCCUUUCUGCUCCCACCUCGAUCUACAACCAAGACCCCGUUUCUUUGGCUUGAGUAAUUCUGAGCUUAUGGAUUUUAUUUUCUUAGUCUGUCUCUUGGUAAAGUCCUAUAUAUUUUGUACUUACUCAUUCCUUUUCUUUCAACAAAGUAGAAAGUAGAACACAGGUUCUGCUUUCCCUAUGGAGAACCAUUCCAGACUUUUUUGCUUCUUCCACUUCUUUCAGAAUUGACCAGAGCCUCAGAAUAAAUAAAAAG